GGCAUCUCAGUCUCGUUCCCGAGCGGCACCAGGCUCCCCGCCGCUGACGGGGCGUUGUCCCUAACGCUGGCCCGCUCGGUCGCGAGGGAGAUCUCGGCGGACUUGGGCGGGGUCGACGGCGCGGCGAAGAAGGAGAGGCCUGCUGCAUUUUCUCUCUCUUUUUUUCAACAGAGCGCUCGCUAUUUCUUCCCGCUUCUGCCUCUGUCUUCCUCAAGCACUCCUCUCCUCUCUGUCCCGAGCCCUCUCACUCACCCCAAGCGCCCCCCUCCUCUCUGUCUCGAGCCCUCUCACUCACCCUAAGCGCUUCCCUCCUCGCCUCUGUCGUCGUCGCCGUCAUCGACUUUCCAGCCGCGGCUCCAGAAAUCGCCGGCUGCCGACUGGCCUCUUGAGCUUCUUUGUCUUCUACUCCUUAUUCGGUCCCGAUUUCGGGCUCGAGUACGUAGCCAAGGAUUUUGAAGCAAAAGAGGUUUGCGAGGCUAGAUAUACUGGUGGCGGACGGCGAGAGCAUGAUCGACCUGAGUCGUUACUCUUUGCUCGGUGAUUUCAAGCUCGACGUCGAAGCAGAGAAGGAGGAAGAACAAGAACGAGAUGAAGGAGAAGAAGGAGAAGAUGGGUCCUUGCUUUUCUGCUUCUGGGUUUAUCUCUUGAAGUCCGCCACUUUCCCUUGUACCAUUUUCCAUCAGGUGAACUCUGAUGUCAAGAUGCUUUUCCAAUUCUCGUUUUGAAUGGAGAUAAGAGACUCACGCUUCUGCCACCGCUUCCUCCACAAAAAGAAUCUCCUGAUUCUGAGGUUUCUCCUUUUUCAAGUGAAAAAUCGUAGACUUCUUUAGAUAGCGAGUUUCCAUUUGGAAAAUGGGUCCAUGUUGGCUGUCAGGUCUCAAGUGAACUUUUACGGCUUCACAUUGACGGGGAAGUGGUGGAUGAGAAGCCCCUACGUGCCUCAAAA
This is a long non-coding RNA of Eucalyptus grandis, 946 nucleotides long. RefSeq lists it as uncharacterized. NCBI's taxonomy places the organism in Eukaryota, Viridiplantae, Streptophyta, Magnoliopsida, Myrtales, Myrtaceae. The record is from RefSeq and is a predicted model, not a curated record. The transcript has 3 exons.